This is a long non-coding RNA of Nerophis ophidion (straightnose pipefish), 2683 nucleotides long. RefSeq lists it as uncharacterized. The transcript is spliced from 3 exons. The record is from RefSeq and is a predicted model, not a curated record. Lineage: Eukaryota; Metazoa; Chordata; Actinopteri; Syngnathiformes; Syngnathidae.
CAUAUAUGGUAAGGGUGUGAAUUCCAAUCCUCCAGAAGGUCUUAUCUUUGUUUAUGUGAUAUCCAAUGAAACAAAAAUUGAGCUGUUGGCCACAAUAACCAGCAAUAUGUUUGGAGGAGAAAAGGUGAGGCCUUUAAUCCAAGGAACACCAGUCCUACCGUCAAGCAUGGUAGUGGUGGUGCUUUUAUACUCUGGGCCUGUUUUGCUGCUAUUGGAACUGGUGCUUUACAGAGAGUAAAUGGGACUAUAAAAAAGGAGGAUUACCUCCAAAUUAUUCAGGACAACCUAAAAUCAUCAGCCUGGAAGUUGGGUCUUGGGCGCAGUUGGGUGUUCUAACAGGACAAUGACCCCAAACACGUCAUACCAUAAAUUGAUUAACGUGGACCCCGACUUACACAAGUUGAAAAACGUAUAGGGGUGUUACCAUUUAGUGGUCAAUUGUACGGAAUAUGUACUGAACUGUGCAAUCUACUAAUAAAAGUUUCAAGUAGGCUAAAUCAGGCUAGAAUUAAGGUUUUAGAAUGAAAAUUCCUAAAGUUCUGACUUAAACGUGUAGACAAUGCUGAAGAAACAAGUCAAUUUCAGAAAACCAACAAAUUUAGCUGAACUGCACCAAUUUUGUCAAGUGGAGUGGUCAAAAAUUCAACCAGAAGCUUGUGGAUGGCUGCCAAAAGUGCCUUAUUGCAGUGAAACUUGCCAAGGGACAUGUAACCAAAUAUUAACAUUGUUGUACAUAUACUUUUGACCCAGCAGAUUCGGUCACAUUUUAAAUUUAUAAAAGAACCAAACUUCAUGAAUGUUUUUUGUGACACAGAAGUAUGUGCUCCAAUCACUCUAUCACAAAAAAAUAAGUGUUGGAUCGAUUUUUUUCCCCCCCUGUUGACAUCAAAUGGGGGAUAAUUUUGAAACGCUUUUUGGAUUCGCAAUUAUGAAGGCAGGCAAGAUUAUUUUAUAAAAUCUCCGCCAUGCCUACAUGGUUAGAUUGGAAAUUUUCGGGACUCAUGAGAUCCCAAAUACACAAAAACGGGAAGAAAUAGGUAAGAAAAGUUGGUUUUGCAAAAUAGGUCCCCUUUACAUAAAUUACACAUUUAAAAACAGCUAUGUACUUAAUAAAACAAAAAUAACACAAAUGCAAUUUUAUAAUUAGAAAAUAUUUAUUUUUAAUGUUUUUUUGCUGAAAACAAAGUUUUAUCCAAAGUCCCAAAGAGGGAUAUUUUAAAACGAAAUUUACACCAAUUGCGUGAUUAAUCUGCUUUGAUACCUGACUAAUGUGACAUUUUAUUGUGAUGAUUCACACAUGUUAGCAAAUAACUGGACUAUCACCCAUCACUGUCAACAGCUGUCACCUUGUAGAUGUCUGAGCCGUCAGGAGAGUCCACGACUACUUGGCUGAGAUCAGACAUCUUUGGUGUGCUGCUCCUCUGUUAGGAAACCAGGAGACGCUCCAUGUGUCCGCCAGGAAAUGUUGCAGAAUUGGUCCAAGUGUAAAGCUUUAGUGGUGAGCAGGUCCUGUAAUGGACAUCCACCAACAUGAUCCACACAGAGACUUGAAAAUGAAGUGUGGAGCAAAGCCGAGUCAGCUGAGAGGACUGAGUCCUGAAGCAGGGGGGCACAGAAAGGAACAAAGUGGAUGCUGAGAAUCUCAGAGAAUCCCUCUGAGAGAGCAGGAGCCACAAAGUGUUUCCUGUUCACGGAGACAGAGAGGAAGAAGUCAAAGGCAUGAUGAGAACAUGAGAAACGAAGAAAAAGCCACUCACUUAUAGCUUUGGAAAAUCAUGUCGUUGACCUUCAUGUGCUUGCUGUCGGACGGCGUCAUCUCACGGAACUGGAGAAGACAAAGCAUUAAAGAAAACGGCAUUGUCAGCAGAACACAUGCAAUGAGUGCCAGAGUGGACAGGAGAGGUGGGUCGUACUCUGUUGUUGUGUUUGGCUUGUUCAAUAGUGGCGGAGAAGAGGAAACAGCGGCAGGUCACGCCCGCUGCUUUGGCAACGUCUAAGUAACUGGAACAGAAAAAGACAGAAAAUGGUGAUCAGUUACCAAUAUAGUAACAAAACAUACACAGUGUUGUGUCCAUCCAUCCAUCCAUCCAUUUUCUACCGUCUAUUUUUCUAAAUAAUAUUGACACACAUUGGCUUUUAUAAAUACAUAUUAUCAAUCAAUAUUGUAAUUAUUCAAUUAACUUCAUCUUUCUCUCUCAGAGCUGCCCUCUGCUGGCAGAAACAGUAGUACCAAGAUUCUGGUGCAGUCUUAGAGCAGUGGUUCUCAACCUUUUUUCAGUGAUGUACCCUCGUGAAAUUUUUUUUAAUUGAAGUACCCCCUAAUCAGAGCAACCUAUUUUUGGUUGAAAAAAAAGAAAUCCAUCCAUCCAUUUCUACCGCUUAUUCCCUUUGGGGUCGCGGGGGGCGCUAGUGCCUAUCUCAGCUACAAUUGGGUGGAAGAAGGAAGUUGUGUGGUGAAUGAGUGACUGAACCUCCUUCCUUUUCAGGUGCCUUCAAUUAGUAAUUUAGCCGCCAUUUUACCUUGGAAUUCUGGGAACUGUAGUUUACAUGAUUUUGACCGUGAAGGGUAGUGGUUCUCAACCUUUUUUCAGUGAUGUACCCCCUGUGAACAUUUUUUAAAUUCAAGUACCCACUAAUCGGAGCAAUUUUUGGUUGGAAAAAAGAUAUAAAGAAGUAAAAUACA